AGUGAACGCUGGCGGCGUGCUUAACACAUGCAAGUCGAACGAGAACGGAAUAUAGCUUGCUAUAUUUGUCAGCUAAGUGGCGCACGGGUGAGUAAUGUAUAGAUAACCUGCCCUCAAGAAAGGAAUAACAGUUGGAAACGACUGCUAAUGCCCUAUACGCCUUUAAUGCAUAAGUAUGCAAGGGAAACGCUUUAGUGCUUAAGGAUGGGUCUGUAUGGUAUCAGCUUGUUGGUGAGGUAAUGGCUCACCAAGGCUAUGACGCCUAACUGGUUUGGGAGGAUGAUCAGUCACACUGGAACUGAGACACGGUCCAGACUCCUACGGGAGGCAGCAGUGGGGAAUAUUGCACAAUGGACGAAAGUCUGAUGCAGCAACGCCGCGUGGAGGAUGACACAUUUCGGUGCGUAAACUCCUUUUAUAUAGGAAGAUAAUGACGGUACUAUAUGAAUAAGCACCGGCUAACUCCGUGCCAGCCGCCGCGGUAA
This 485-nucleotide ribosomal RNA is filed under the name uncultured bacterium. Its description in RNAcentral is "partial 16S ribosomal RNA". It matches the Rfam family "Bacterial small subunit ribosomal RNA", at positions 29 to 523 of the family's 1533-position model. The record is from RNAcentral.